UCCGGGCGGAGUCUUCCUGCAAUUAAAGUCAAAGGCGAAGUCCAGCUCCCGUAGGAGUCCGGACAAGGCUUACCGGCAGUUGAUGUUGAGGACGGAGCCCGGCUUCCGUAGGAGUUCGGGCGGAGUCUACUUGCGGUUGAAGUUGUCGGCGGAGUCCGGCUCCCGUAGGAGUCCGGACGAAGUCUGUCUGCAGCCGUUGGAGUCGAGGAUGAAGCUCGGCUCCCAUAGGAGUCCGGGCGGAGUCUUCCUGCAAUUAAAGUCAAAGGCGAAGUC
Molecule: long non-coding RNA, 273 nt
Filed under: Elaeis guineensis (African oil palm)
Lineage: Eukaryota; Viridiplantae; Streptophyta; Magnoliopsida; Arecales; Arecaceae
Description: long non-coding RNA (EGUI_LNC063068)
Source: RNAcentral